Molecule: small nucleolar RNA, 133 nt
Organism: Hyla sarda
Lineage: Eukaryota; Metazoa; Chordata; Amphibia; Anura; Hylidae
Product: small nucleolar RNA SNORA22
Exons: 1
Source: RefSeq, a predicted model, not a curated record
UUGCACAGAGAACACCCAAGUGUGCCCCAUGGUUCCCUUGGUUAUAGUUCUGUGCUAGACCAAUGUCUGUUCUUUUUCCUCUGCGGUGAAAGAAUACCAUUCUUUUACACGUAUUCAGAAGAACAGCACAUAA